GAUGAAGAACGUAGCGAAAUGCGAUACGUAAUGUGAAUUGCAGAAUUCAGUGAAUCAUCGAGUCUUUGAACGCACAUUGCGCCCCCUGGUAUUCCGGGGGGCAUGCCUAUCCGAGCGUCAUUGCUGCCCUCAAGCACGGCUUGUGUGUUGGGCCUCCGUCCUCCUCCCGGGGGACGGGCCCGAAAGGCAGCGGCGGCACCGCGUCCGGUCCUCGAGCGUAUGGGGCUUCGUCACCCGCUCUUGUAGGCCCGGCCGGCGCUUGCCGACACAUCAAUCUUUUUUCCAGGUUGACCUCGGAUCAGGUAGGGAUACCCGCUGAACUUAAGCAUAUCAAUAAGCGGAGGA
This 345-nucleotide unclassified non-coding RNA is filed under the name soil metagenome. RNAcentral describes it as "partial contains 5.8S ribosomal RNA, internal transcribed spacer 2, and large subunit ribosomal RNA". The stretch from base 1 to 120 matches the Rfam family "5.8S ribosomal RNA", at positions 35 to 154 of the family's 154-position model. The record is from RNAcentral.